This is a long non-coding RNA of Daphnia pulicaria, 655 nucleotides long. RefSeq lists it as uncharacterized. The transcript has 4 exons. Lineage: Eukaryota; Metazoa; Arthropoda; Branchiopoda; Diplostraca; Daphniidae. The record is from RefSeq and is a predicted model, not a curated record.
UAAAAUUUUCAUGCAGUGGUGUAGAGGUUGGGUGAGAACGGGACGUUUUCCAUCAUUAUCAAAAAGGUAAAAUACCCACAAGGCUUGAGUUGAGAGGUAAGGGUGAGAAAAAGUCGUAUAAAGCGAGAGAGAAAAGGCCACAGUGAUCAGUCGAGUUAGCGUCUCCGACACGGGAACAACUGCAGCACUAUUGGUCUCCAACUGCCUUCUUCAUCGCAUUAUCAGUUUGCAAUCAUGGUUAACUAUGGCGCCGUGCUCCUUUUGGGUGUUGGAUCGCUGAUGGCUGGAGCGACCACUGGUGUACCGAUGUCUCCUGCGCACGGUUGAUAAGAAGCUUCGGCAGCAAAAGAAUACUACACCGACUUACUGCUGCCGACUUACUAUAAAACAACAUUAACUCUUCCUAUGCCGAAGACCCCAAGUAUUACAACACCAAGUCUCCUGAGUAUUAAACUUCAACCUACGAUGUUCUAUCUUAGGAAACAUAGUUAUCUGUGGGUUAUGCUGCUGUUGGGUGUUGAUGGCUGAGGCGACCACGGGAGUACCGAUGUCUUCUGGGUAUGGCGGAUACGAAAUCGCAACGCCGGGGUUUUACUAAACAACAACAUACGCAACAACUGGAUACUACACCACCAAGACCCCUGAUAUAAUUCUG